This 245-nucleotide ribosomal RNA is filed under the name uncultured bacterium. RNAcentral describes it as "partial 16S ribosomal RNA". It matches the Rfam family "Bacterial small subunit ribosomal RNA", at positions 524 to 768 of the family's 1533-position model. The record is from RNAcentral.
UACGGAGGAUCCUAGCGUUAUCCGGAUUUAUUGGGUUUAAAGGGUGCGCAGGCGGGAUGAUAAGUUAGUGGUGAAAGCCUACGGCUUAACUGUAGAAUUGCCAUUAAUACUGUCAUUCUUGAGUACAGAUGAAGUGGGCGGAAUGUGUCAUGUAGCGGUGAAAUGCUUAGAUAUGACACAGAACACCGAUAGCGAAAGUAGCUCACUAAGCUGUAACUGACGCUCAGGCACGAAAGCGUGGGGAG